This 301-nucleotide ribosomal RNA is filed under the name uncultured bacterium. RNAcentral describes it as "partial 16S ribosomal RNA". It matches the Rfam family "Bacterial small subunit ribosomal RNA", at positions 509 to 808 of the family's 1533-position model. The record is from RNAcentral.
CAGUCGCCGCGGGAAUACGUAGGUGGCAAGCGUUGUCCGGAAUUAUUGGGCGUAAAGCGAGCGCAGGCGGUUAGAUAAGUCUGAAGUUAAAGGCUGUGGCUUAACCAUAGUACGCUUUGGAAACUGUUUAACUUGAGUGCAGAAGGGGAGAGUGGAAUUCCAUGUGUAGCGGUGAAAUGCGUAGAUAUAUGGAGGAACACCGGUGGCGAAAGCGGCUCUCUGGUCUGUAACUGACGCUGAGGCUCGAAAGCGUGGGGAGCAAACAGGAUUAGAUACCCCCGUAGUCCCUGUCUCUUAUACA